GUAAAUUUUUUAAAUAAGAUGUAUAACAAAUUUUGCAAUACAAGAAUAAUGGACAAAAACAAAGAUGUAACAUCAUCAAUCAAAUUUUUAAACGGUUGGAAAUUAUCUAUAAAAGCAUUGAUAGGUCUCCAUGAAAGUCUAAGUUGUAAAUACAACACAAUAUAUACAUGACGAUUAAACCAAGACUCAUUAGAAAAUUUUUUUGGGACUGCGUCAACAGGGUGGAAAUGCCAGAAAUCCAACUCCUACACAGGUCAACCAAGGUUUUAAAAAAUUAUUCUGUUUGAGUUAUUUUAGGCACUCCGAGAAAGGAAAUUGUGUAGAUUUUAAUAAAUACAAAAAUAGUUAAGGGUAAUGCAAAGUUUGUUAAUUUAGAUAUAGGACAGGCAGUUUAUAUAAAUAUAGAUAUGCCAACUAAAAAUGCCGUAAAUUAUAUAUCGGGUUAUUUGUUAAAAAAAUGCUUAGAGAAACAUCAAUGUGAUAUGAGCAUUGAAUAUUCUAAACAGCAUAUGCAUUUAUCUGAAGAUAUUCUUUUUAGCUUUUUUAAAAGCGUAUGGAACCAAAGACAGAGAUUCUUUCGGAAAUCUUUUAAUACCUCAGGAGCAUUUUGUAAAAUAUUUAUUUGAAUUAGAAAAAAUAUUCGCAGAAAAUUUUCGGAAAUGUGCAAUAGAAAAUAAUGUGGGGAUAAAUAUCAAAAAAGAUUUAUAUGUACCAGUAAAUCCCCACCCAUGUAAUGAGUUCCCGCAUGAUUGUCUAUUAUCUUUAUAGACAAUAUUAAAAAUUUAUUACACUCUAAAAUAUACAAAUAGAGACUUCAUUCAACAAAAGCCGAGUGUGAGUCAAAAGAUAAAAAACGUGAAAAAUUUGUGAAGAUCUUUUUAUUUUUAAAACCGAGUUCUAAUAUUCUCAACAACCUACAAACAGCUAAACUCCGCAUGCGGCCUGUUUCUUUGGAUUGCGUACUUUAUUAUUUAAAUUGGGUACCUGCAUUUUGAGACAAAAUAUUGAUGUUUUUUAAUGUUUAAAUGAAAGGAUAUGUUUAUAUACAUGUGAUUACCUAUGUAAUAAUAACAAAAGUGUAUGUUUGCCGUCUCUAGUAAUAAGUUUUGUUUGUAUAAAACGAACCAAAACAAACGGUAUAGAAGAAUAGUAGUAGUAUCUAGUACAUUAUUUUGUAGGUUUAUUUAUGCACUACUUUUUAUAAUACUUAUAGAUUACAACAAAGUAAGUUUUAUGGGUUAUAGUUAAUUAUCUCAAACAUUUUAACUUUUUAUACAUUACAAUCAGUUUCGUCAUCACAGAGAUAUUACAUUAUUGGCUCAUUUUGUUACAGGUUUAAGCAUGGAUGAGACAUUAACACAUAGCAGUAAUUUAGUUGAAGAAACAGAAAAUCUCCCCCAUGAUUCCCCCAUUAUCAUCACAGUUAAGGAUGGUCCAAUAGCAUCUAGCUCGAUGUACUGAGUUGGUUGUCAGUGUUAUCAACUGGAGCUGUCUAAUAAUUUUUCGGCAAUUUGCAAGUUUCUAUUGUUGUGUAUGUCUCGGUUAACCUGCUUGACACGCCAUUGAGUUGCGGCACUCUCUGACACUCCAAAAUGGAUUUAAUAUUGGAGAGGCUAUCAGUAGGAGGAUACAAACAAAUUGAGACUGAUGAAUGUAUUAACAACCUACCACUGAAAAAAAGUGAAGACAUUGUCAGAUUUGAGGAAAGACUGAGAAAUCAGGAAAAUUUUGUAAUACAAUUGAGAAAUGUCCUUCAGAUUGUGGGAGGAAGCGAUGCGGGCAAGUUGUCAAGAAGGUG
Long non-coding RNA from Anoplophora glabripennis (Asian longhorned beetle), 1798 nucleotides. RefSeq lists it as uncharacterized. The transcript has 3 exons. Lineage: Eukaryota; Metazoa; Arthropoda; Insecta; Coleoptera; Cerambycidae. The record is from RefSeq and is a predicted model, not a curated record.